This 419-nucleotide ribosomal RNA is filed under the name Acanthamoeba sp. AcHu/1/1994/T4. RNAcentral describes it as "SSU rRNA". The stretch from base 1 to 373 matches the Rfam family "Eukaryotic small subunit ribosomal RNA", at positions 762 to 1115 of the family's 1831-position model. Lineage: Eukaryota; Discosea; Longamoebia; Acanthamoebidae. The record is from RNAcentral.
AAAAUUAGAGUGUUCAAAGCAGGCAGAUUCAAUUUUCUGCCACCGAAUACAUUAGCAUGGGAUAAUGGAAUAGGACCCUGUCCUCCUAUUUUCAGUUGGUUUUGGCAGCGCGAGGACUAGGGUAAUGAUUAAUAGGGAUAGUUGGGGGCAUUAAUAUUUAAUUGUCAGAGGUGAAAUUCUUGGAUUUAUGAAAGAUUAACUUCUGCGAAAGCAUCUGCCAAGGAUGUUUUCAUUAAUCAAGAACGAAAGUUAGGGGAUCGAAGACGAUCAGAUACCGUCGUAGUCUUAACCAUAAACGAUGCCGACCAGCGAUUAGGAGACGUUGAAUACAAAACACCACCAUCGGCGCGGUCGUCCUUGGCGCGUUGGUCCUUCACGGGGCCGGCGCGAGGGCGGCUUAGCCCGGUGGCACCGGUGAA